RNAcentral lists this long non-coding RNA (1230 nucleotides) under Olea europaea (common olive). RNAcentral's name for it is "long non-coding RNA (OEUR_LNC009488)". The record is from RNAcentral. Lineage: Eukaryota; Viridiplantae; Streptophyta; Magnoliopsida; Lamiales; Oleaceae.
AAAAACAAUAAUCACAAGCAUGACCAUAGAGAAUAAGAUGACAAAUAUAAAUACUAAUAAAUUUGUUCAGUUUUGAUUUAUUCGCUGGAGACAGGCUGUCGCCAACAACGCCCCACUAGAAGACUAGUACUCUACACCUUACACUGUUUCCUCUUUUUUCUCUGCAAUAAAAUUUCUCUUCGUUUUCUCCUGGAUUCAAUUAUCUGUCUAUGGUUUUUUUGGCUUUUUCUGCCGACUUUCAGAUUUCGCUUUUCAGAUUGCCGGAUCGUUGAUGUACAACUCGUAAGCUUUCCUCUGGUAUAAUUUUCCUAUUUUUGGCUUUGAAUUUGAGGUUUAUUUUUAUUUUUUGUGUUGCAUUGUGGUAUUAAUGCGCCGAUUUUGUGGCGCUUUGUUUAUGUGAAACUCUUGUUUUUUGUUUUACCUUGUCAGUUUCGGCGAACAACUGUUAUGAAUGUUAGGUUUUUGAAUUUCUACGUGGGUUUUCGACUUCUAUCAUUCCAGAUUUAAGUUCUAGAUUUUGCUUGUUAAUUAAUGUAUUGUGGCACCAAUUCUCUAAGCACCUACAUGCUUGCAGAUUCUGUGAAAUUAGGCUUAAAUAGCAUAAAAAAGAAAAGAAAACGUUAUGUAUGGAUACCAACGUGCUCACGUUUAAUAUUCUCUGGGUUGUUUAAGACAUCUUUAUAUUGACUUACAUGAUAUCUACACGGUAAGUGAUGGGCGUUGGUUUAAGUGAAUUUAAGGUAUUACUCUAUUAGUAUGGGUGAUUCUCAAAUCUCAGUGUUGAAAUUGUUUAGACAGCUUAUUGUAAUUUAUAUUACUGCAUUUUAUGGUUAGAGAAUUGCUUGGUCAUUUGUGACAGGCAUCAUGCAACACAGUAAGCAGAGUUAUGGAAUAAUUUUAAGAAGUUCCAAGAUUGGCCACAUGAACACAGUGCACAUAAUCAUUGUGUCGAAUAUCUGAAUGCAUUUCGGUUUGGCUGUGCCUAAAUUAUGAUGUAAACAAGUGGCUCCACAAAACGCAAGGGUUAAGCUGCUAUUUGUAAAUUUUUACUUUGGUAGUGUCGUUAUUAGGUAAGCCAUCUGCAGCCACAAUGAGCUGAUCAAAUUAUGCUCGUUCAAUUGCACGUGCAUGGAAAUUUUAUCUAAGAUUUGAUUCUUGUUUUGCCUAAAUAUGUCAAACAUUAUUACUCUAUCAUACUUUAUAGAUCUUUUUNNNNNNNNNNNNUGUUUG